This 254-nucleotide ribosomal RNA is filed under the name uncultured bacterium. RNAcentral describes it as "partial 16S ribosomal RNA". It matches the Rfam family "Bacterial small subunit ribosomal RNA", at positions 524 to 776 of the family's 1533-position model. The record is from RNAcentral.
UACGGAGGGUGCGAGCGUUGUCCGGAUUCAUUGGGCGUAAAGAGCUCGUAGGCGGUUCGGCAAGUCGGGUGUGAAAACUCCAGGCUCAACCUGGAGACGCCACCCGAUACUGCUGUGACUUGAGUCCGGUAGGGGACCACGGAAUUCCUGGUGUAGCGGUGAAAUGCGCAGAUAUCAGGAGGAACACCGGUGGCGAAGGCGGUGGUCUGGGCCGGCACUGACGCUGAGGAGCGAAAGCGUGGGGAGCGAACAGG